GCUUGAUAGUACUCCAUCUCGAAAGUUCGAACACACUACUGAUCCGUAGGGCUCCCAUGUCGCCGCUGUCUCGGCGACUACUUCUCCGCCGCCGUCGCCGCGGCGCUCUCUCCCUGCCCUGAGAUCUCCGGUCGCCGGACCCGAUAUGGUCCUGCCGCGCCGGCGCGGCGGCCACAACCACCACCCGUGCCCGCGCCGCGCCGUUCUGCCGGCGGCGGCGCUACUGCUGCUCUUCCUCCUCGCCGCCGUCACGCUGCUCUACGUCUCUCCGCCGCCUCUGUCCGACCACCCGGCCCUCGCCUACUCCCGCCGCCGCUCCCCGCAUGCUCUGCUGAACAGCUCUGGCGGCGGCAGCCUAGUGGAGCCCGGGCGCCGCGAGAUUUCCCGCGUUCCAAAAGGUGGUUGGAGUGCGACAGAUGGCCUCUGGGGUUCGAAGCUCGCUAGCAAAUUCUAUGGGUGCAGCAACUCAAGCAGCAAGUUUCUUGAUUCAGGUGUUAUGACACAUCCAGACCGUUAUUUGAUGAUUGUUACAAGUGGAGGCCUCAAUCAACAGAGAACAGGGAUAAUUGAUGCUGUUGUUGCUGCACGUAUUUUAAAUGCAACACUCGUUGUUCCCAAAUUGGACCAAACCUCCUUCUGGAAAGAUGCAAGUGACUUUGCUGAAAUUUUUAACGCCGACUGGUUCAUCUCAUUUCUAUCAAAGGAUGUAAGGAUUGUGAAAGAGCUUCCAAAGAUAGGAGGUAAACUGUGGGCUCCUCAUAGAAUGCGUGUGCCCCGCAAAUGCACUCAGCGAUGUUACUUGAACCGUGUGUUGCCUGCACUUGUUAAGAAACAUGUUGUUCGACUAACAAAAUUUGAUUAUAGGCUAGCAAACAGGUUGGAUUCUGAUCUGCAAAAGCUGAGGUGCAGAGUUAACUACCAUGCAUUGAGAUUUACUGACCCAAUACAAGAAAUGGGUGAAAAGAUAAUACAGAGAAUGCGGGAGAGGAGCACAUAUUUUAUUGCUCUUCAUUUAAGAUUUGAACCGGAUAUGCUUGCCUUUUCUGGGUGCUACUACGGUGGUGGAGAAAAGGAGAAGAGAGAACUUGGUGUGAUACGGAAGAGAUGGAAAACCUUGCAUGCUAGCAAUCCAGAGAAAGAAAGAAGGCACGGUAGGUGCCCACUAACUCCUGAAGAGGUGGGGUUGAUGUUGAGGGCACUGGGCUACAGAAAGAAUGUUCAUAUUUAUGUUGCCUCUGGAGAUAUAUAUGGUGGGGCAAAGACGUUAGCACCCCUGAAAGCGCUAUUCCCCAAUCUUCAUACCAAAGAAACAGUAACAAGCAAAGACGAGCUGGCUCCGUUCUCAAAGUACUCAUCUCGCAUGGCCGCACUUGAUUUCAUUGUCUGUGAUGGAAGUGAUGCUUUUGUGACUAACAACAAUGGUAAUAUGGCCAAAAUUUUGGCUGGGCGAAGGAGAUAUCUUGGGCAUAAGAGAACGAUCCGACCAAAUGCGAGAAAGCUCUACUCGUUAUUCUUGAGCAGAGGAAACAUGUCCUGGGAUGCAUUCUCCUCCAAAGUGCACAUGGCCCAGAAAGGAUUUAUGGGGGAGCCCAAAGAGCUGAGGCCAGGAAGGGGGGAGUUCCACGAGAACCCCACGACAUGUAUAUGUGAAAACACUGAUCCCAAAACACCGACCAAACCUAACCCUCGAAGCGAGCAAGGAUUGAUUAAUGGCACCGAGGGUAGGAAAGCCAUUACCGAGCCCACAGUUGCUAAUCAUACCAACGAGGAGUUGGUAGGAUCCAGUGCGGAAGAAGACGACGCUAGCGUGGAGAAAGAAGACGACACUAGUGCGGAGAAAGAAGAUGACACUAGUGAAGAGAAAGAGGAGAUAGCUGACCCGGAAGCGGAGGAUGAUGCGUUGGUGAGACCAGAUGAUCCUGAGCUGGAGGAGGUUCUUUCAGAUUAGACAAGUUACCCAGGCCGUAGGUAGAUGUUAACCAGCCGGCAGAGUUUUGGUGAGCAGCUGAUGGAUUUUGCCCCUUUAAAUGUACAUAUUUUGCGUGCUGUGUAAAAUAACCCACCCCCUUUCUACUCUAGUUAGCUUGUAGUGUAUCCUCGGCUUUCGUUAGUCCGGUAUCAUAGCGGCUGUGCGCUGAUCUCGUCGAGUUUGUAAUGUGUGUGGUAUGUUGUAGCAUGCGCUUGUUUGUGUUUUAUUCACUUAUCUGUAACUCUCUCUGGUGGUGUCUAAGAUGCACAUCUCUGGCUUAUUUUUGCAGCAUGGGCAUUUGAGCAGCACGCCCGCGGAGUCUGCAUUUCAGCAAAACUGCCAGGUCAAGAUACCUUCUGUCCGAUCAACUUGUUUAUGAACUCCCCCCUUGAAAAAUUGGUUCUAGAAUUCUUGUCGCCUCCGACGGAGGUUCUACAAAUGCCACGCACAUAUACGCAUAGAAAUAAACAGCCUGAUUGCAGCCGAUGAAAUAUGGUGCGUUCUUUUGAUAGCCCGAUCACGUGCCAAAUGGCGUCCUCGCUCUGCUCCAGCCAACAGCAAGAUGCUACUCCCCC
RNAcentral lists this ribosomal RNA (2544 nucleotides) under Triticum aestivum (bread wheat). RNAcentral describes it as "partial small subunit ribosomal RNA". The record is from RNAcentral. Lineage: Eukaryota; Viridiplantae; Streptophyta; Magnoliopsida; Poales; Poaceae.